This 378-nucleotide unclassified non-coding RNA is filed under the name plant metagenome. RNAcentral's name for it is "partial contains 5.8S ribosomal RNA, internal transcribed spacer 2, and large subunit ribosomal RNA". The stretch from base 1 to 105 matches the Rfam family "5.8S ribosomal RNA", at positions 50 to 154 of the family's 154-position model. The record is from RNAcentral.
GAAAUGCGAUAAGUAAUGUGAAUUGCAGAAUUCAGUGAAUCAUCGAAUCUUUGAACGCACCUUGCGCUCCUUGGUAUUCCUUGGAGCAUGCCUGUUUGAGUAUCAUGAAAUCUUCAAAGUAAAUCUUUUGUUAACUCAAUUGGUUUCUACUUUGGUAUUGGAGGUCUUUGCAGCUUCACACCCGCUCCUCUUUGUUCAUUAGCUGGAUCUCAGUGUUAUGCUUGGUUCCACUCGGCGUGAUAAGUUAUCUAUCGCUGAGGACACUGUAAAAGGUGGCAAAGGUAAAUGCAGAUGAACCGCUUCUAAUAGUCCAUUGACUUGGACAAUACUUUUAUGAUCUGAUCUCAAAUCAGGUAGGACUACCCGCUGAACUUAAGC